AUAAAUCUGAAAAAUAAUAAGUUGUAAUGAUUAAUAAGCAUUUAAAUGUAUAAUUUUUAAGGGUGAACCAGAAGAGUUUAUAUUAUAUAGAUUAUAUAGAAGAGGUUAUAUUAUAUAGAUAUAUAUAUAUUAUAUUAUAUAGAAAAAGAAACAGAACUCUAGAAAUCGGGUCAGAUAAGAUAACCUGGAAAGUCCAUGGCUGAUGGGGGCAAUUUAAAAAGGAGCUCUAUAUUCCGGCAAUCAGCAAGUACCAGGCACAUAAAAGGCAGGCCCGUAAAUGAAAUGCAAAUUCUUAUCUAAAAGUGCAAAGACCCAAAGAUCGGUUGUAUUUUUCUUUUUUUUUUUUUUGUGUUUAUUUGUGCCCGUGUCUGUUGUGACUAAAAAUAUGCCGUAUAUGUACACUAUACUCGAAUAGAAAAAAAACCAGAUCAACAAAUAGAACUUCUUAUGGCGCGCCAAAUUGUCUCUGAAGCUAAAAUGUCAGCGAGUUUAAGAGCUUAUUUGGAUGUGAUUGUAAAUAAUUUGCAGAAAACUAUAAGAUUAUUAAAAUAGAAACAAAAUUUAUUGUAGCAAGUCAUGAUUUGAAAGUACUAUUAAUAUUUUCAUGAUUUUAAAAAUUAUACAAACGGAGAAUAUUUUUUAAAAAGGACUUCUUGGAUAACAAGCUCACUAUAUUAUACCCGCUAUAAGGACAAAAGGACCAGACUUUCAAAUGGAUUGCAAAAUGUUUUUGUUUCUCACGGAACUGGCUUGGAAGAAUCGCCUUACUAUCCCCGUUUUAGUUUUUACAGCGUUUAUUUUAAUGGAUCUACGUAUGGAGGUUGGACCCAGGAUGACCAUUAUAACUGUCAGAUCUCCCACAUUAGGAUAAUAAAAACAUAUAUUAGUUAAAA
Long non-coding RNA from Drosophila ananassae, 893 nucleotides. RefSeq lists it as uncharacterized. The record is from RefSeq and is a predicted model, not a curated record. NCBI's taxonomy places the organism in Eukaryota, Metazoa, Arthropoda, Insecta, Diptera, Drosophilidae. The transcript has 2 exons.